Molecule: long non-coding RNA, 218 nt
Filed under: Brassica napus (rape)
Lineage: Eukaryota; Viridiplantae; Streptophyta; Magnoliopsida; Brassicales; Brassicaceae
Description: long non-coding RNA (BNAP_LNC027081)
Source: RNAcentral
UAUACAUGCAUAUUCUUAAAUAUAACUUUUAUGUUUAAUUAACUCAAAUUUAUAUUAAAUAUUGAUACAAAAAUGAAAAUUUACAAUAUUAAUAAAAUUUUAUUUUAAAAUAUAAUAUAUAUUUAUCUGUUAAAAAAUAUUUUAAAUUUUAUUUACUGCACAUGGAGCACGAAGACGCCUAGUGUCUAUUAUACCUCACGUAUGUAAUUAACAAAUUA